Molecule: long non-coding RNA, 639 nt
Organism: Peromyscus eremicus (cactus mouse)
Lineage: Eukaryota; Metazoa; Chordata; Mammalia; Rodentia; Cricetidae
Exons: 3
Source: RefSeq, a predicted model, not a curated record
GAAAGCUCGGGUGGGUUGGUAACCAGAUGGAGACUCAACUGUUCCGCCGCCGAGGCGAAUCUUCAGACGCGGCGCCAGGCAGGGCAGGUAUCCGCGAGCGCCUGCAUGGCCAGGCGCUGAGAAAGGAACGCUCAGCCCUAGAACUUUGCUCCUCCACCCAGGAGCUCUGGCUGGGUGUAGCUGGUUAGCUGUCUUUCAACUUUCCACCCAAGCUUAACGGUCAGAAUGCACUUGUACACAGAGAAAGAGGGCACAGAAAUGAUAGAGAGAGUGGGGACACAUUUUUUUUUCCCCAGAUUAAGAGAAUUUUCAACCUAUUAAUCCCACAUCCCUUUAGAGAGAAAACACCGCUGUCCGUGGGAGAUGCUGCUAUAUCAUUGCAGUUGAUGUUAAUUUCUGUUGAAGCUUUUUUAGAAUGUCUACUCCUAACAGUACGAGGUAACUGACGGAGGGCCAGGGUUCCAUAGUCUCUUGUAGAUCUCCAGUCUCCUCAUCUGCCAAGCAAGGGAAAUAACUUCCUUCAGUUGCGCAGUGAUCUAUCUGACUCUCAAGUCAAAGCUGUCUUCCAAAGUAGAGAGAACAAGCAGACCUCACACCAUUAUCUAGGUAAAAUAAAGUCAGUACAGCAUUCUGGUAAGC